This 68-nucleotide transfer RNA is filed under the name Trogopterus xanthipes (complex-toothed flying squirrel). RNAcentral describes it as "tRNA-Lys". It matches the Rfam family "tRNA". Rfam says of the family: Transfer RNA (tRNA) molecules are approximately 80 nucleotides in length. Lineage: Eukaryota; Metazoa; Chordata; Mammalia; Rodentia; Sciuridae. RNAcentral also lists the same sequence under 1 other name. The record is from RNAcentral.
CAUUAUGAAGCUAAUUAUAGCAUUAACCUUUUAAGUUAAAGAUUAGGAGUUAAUUCUCCUCAUAAUGA